UUUUUUUUUUCCUUUUUUUUUUUGUUUGAUGGGUCAUAUCACAUUUAAAUUAAUACCAACAUUCAUUUUAUCAGCCCUAUGACUAAGUUCAACAGAACACAUAUUUUUCAUAAAACCUCAUAUUGUUGCAAUAGGUAGUGUGAUAAAGAACUAAAACUUAGAUGACAUAUAUUUAGCCUUGAUUACAUCACUUGCUUCUUCACUUGGAAGUAAAAAAAUAAAAUUAAAUAAAAAAUUUCAUCUUCCUUUUCUUCUUAGUUUAAGGAGCAAUCAAACAAAACUAAUUAUGACACAAUUUUAAGGUGUUUUUGUCACUUGAUAUAAAGUCUAUUUCAAGUCGUGAAAUGAACCCAGUAUAUCUUAUACCACACACUGAAGCAGUAUAUGCAUUACCACAAGUGGGUUGCAUCUGCAAACUUAGUGCACUCAACUCCCCAAGCGUAGAACAUAUUUAUUAAUAUCGAAGAACUAGUCUCCCUCUUUUUAACAAUAAUGUCAAAGAACUAGUCUCUCUAUUUCUAACAAUUAACAUCGAGAUUUCAGCAAAGCAUUUUCUUGAUGUUGAUGCUAGGAAUGGAAAUUUAACUCAAAAUUAGCCUUGAAUAUAAAUAACUUUGAUAAAAAAAGAAGUGAAAUUAAAAUAACAAAAAAUCAUGGAUUAAAGUUGCAUGCAUGAACAAAACCAUUGACUAAGCAGUUCAAUGAAUCAAGCAAAAAACUCAACUGUGAAGAAGUCCGAGGAAGCAAAAUUCUAAAGUCAGCAACUCUCCUAUAGAACAGAAGGAAGCUUUUUAAUUGAUAUGGGUAGAGUGAGAUUUAUGGAGGGGGAUUACCACCUAUAGUG
Molecule: unclassified non-coding RNA, 844 nt
Filed under: Hevea brasiliensis (rubber tree)
Lineage: Eukaryota; Viridiplantae; Streptophyta; Magnoliopsida; Malpighiales; Euphorbiaceae
Source: RNAcentral